UAGUCCUGCUUUUCCACGUGCUGCCUGUGGCAUUGUGAGCAUGGAUGACAUAAUUUACUUAUUUGGUGGAAGAAAUGAAGAAUACUUUUUGAAAACCGUGGAGCGUUUUGACAUACAACGCAACGAAUGGCGUGAAGUUGCUGUUAUGCCAAAUAGUCAUCAGUGUUCACACCUUAAAGCAUCAUUGCUAACACUACCCAGAAAGUUUAUAUCAUAAGUAAACAUAGCAUACAUUCACCUGGAUGAAGGGUGUGGUACAAGAAAGGUAUGCAGUGUGUGUUUACAUGAUUUUUAGUUGAUUGUACAUUGUAACCUUUGGUUUUACUUUUAAAUUUUGCACCUUAUGUCUCCUAGCAAUGGUGAGUAAUUCUCUAGUCACAACUAAUUCAAAAAAAUUUCCUUGCCAUUGUUAUGGCCACCUAUUAAACAGGUAAUACAAGCAGCUGAUUUCUUUUGUUAAACAAGGCAAAUAUAUCAAAUUUGGCUUCAUUUUUGCAGAGAAGUGGCUGUUAGAUAAAACAAGAACACUUGAUUGCUCUAUGCAAGGUGCAUGAAAACAAGUCCGUGUUCCACCAGUGUGAAAGUGAAAGAUUCAACUUAAAUCUCAUGUGCUAGUAAUGUUUAGAUGGAUAUAAAACAGCCCCAGUAGUAGUGGGGCUUGCUAAUCAUAAUGAAUUUUAGCAGUAUAAAUUCAUUUGCACACUGAUACAAAUGCUGCAGUUUGAUUGGUUGAGCUUACUGUUUUGAUAUCGAACAGAUCAUAGAAGACUGUUUAAAGUGCUUUAAUGGAAUCGAGUAUUCCCUAGAAUACACUUGAGACAACGCCUUGUUCUAUCUAAAAAGGUGUUAUAUCGAUUACAAAAUCACGUGACACACUUGCGUUACUAUAUCUCUAACCUAGUGAUACGAUCUAUCGUUACAACCACCACCACCACCACCACCACCACCUUCCGGGCAUAAUUGCAUUUGGCAUUUUGGGAAAGUAAUCAAAUGUCGAACAAUGUUGUUUCUGCUCAAGAAGGACUGGUGAAGGAUCAUCAUUAUCAAUAUCAUCAAAAUAGAGCUGGUCAUCAUUAUCGUCAUCACCAU
Long non-coding RNA from Orbicella faveolata, 1089 nucleotides. The record is from RefSeq and is a predicted model, not a curated record. NCBI's taxonomy places the organism in Eukaryota, Metazoa, Cnidaria, Anthozoa, Scleractinia, Merulinidae.